AAGAAAGUUGUGAAAGCAACCUGACGGUACCAGAGGAAUCAGCAUCGGCUAACUCCGUGCCAGCAGCCGCGGUAAGACGGAGGAUGCAAGCGUUAUCCGGAAUGAUUGGGCGUAAAGCGUCCGCAGGUGGCAGUUCAAGUCUGCUGUCAAAGACCGGGGCUUAACUUCGGAAAGGCAGUGGAAACUGAACAGCUAGAGUAUGGUAGGGGCAGAGGGAAUUCCUGGUGUAGCGGUGAAAUGCGUAGAGAUCAGGAAGAACAUCGGUGGCGAAGGGUCGACGCGGCCGUUACUGACGCUGAGGAGCGAAAGCGUGGGGAGCGAACAGGAUUAGAUACCCCAGUAGUCCUAGCCGUAAACGAUGGAUACUAGGUGUUGUCUGUAUCGACCCGGACAGUGCCGUAGCUAACGCGUUAAGUAUCCCGCCUGGGGAUACGCACGCAAGUGUGAAAC
This 450-nucleotide ribosomal RNA is filed under the name uncultured soil bacterium. RNAcentral's name for it is "bacterial SSU rRNA". It matches the Rfam family "Bacterial small subunit ribosomal RNA", at positions 445 to 900 of the family's 1533-position model. The record is from RNAcentral.